AGAGUUUGAUCCUGGCUCAGAGCGAACGCUGGCGGCAUGCCUAACACAUGCAAGUCGCACGGGCCUUGGGCUUCGGUUCAAGGUCAGUGGCGGACGGGUGAGGAACGCGUAGGGAUCUAUCCACGGGUGGGGGACAACCGCGGGAAACUGCGGCUAAUACCGCAUGACGAAUCCGGCCGGGAGGUUGGGUUCCAAAGCUC
This 200-nucleotide ribosomal RNA is filed under the name uncultured bacterium. RNAcentral describes it as "partial 16S ribosomal RNA". It matches the Rfam family "Bacterial small subunit ribosomal RNA", at positions 8 to 209 of the family's 1533-position model. The record is from RNAcentral.